This 495-nucleotide ribosomal RNA is filed under the name uncultured bacterium. Its description in RNAcentral is "partial 16S ribosomal RNA". It matches the Rfam family "Bacterial small subunit ribosomal RNA", at positions 29 to 507 of the family's 1533-position model. The record is from RNAcentral.
AUGAACGCUGGCGGCGUGCCUAAUACAUGCAAGUCGAGCGAACGGACGAGAAGCUUGCUUCUCUGAUGUUAGCGGCGGACGGGUGAGUAACACGUGGAUAACCUACCUAUAAGACUGGGAUAACUUCGGGAAACCGGAGCUAAUACCGGAUAAUAUUUUGAACCGCAUGUUUAAAAGUGGAAGACGGGCUUUCCGUGCCUUAUAGAUGGAACCGCGCUGCAUUAGCUAGUUGGUAAGGUAACGGCUUACCAAGGCAACGAUGCAUAGCCGACCUGAGAGGGUGAUCGGCCACACUGGAACUGAGACACGGUCCAGACUCCUACGGGAGGCAGCAGUAGGGAAUCUUCCGCAAUGGGCGAAAGCCUGACGGAGCAACGCCGCGUGAGUGAUGAAGGUCUUCGGAUCGUAAAACUCUGUUAUUAGGGAAGAACAUAUGUGUAAGUAACUGUGCACAUCUUGACGGUACCUAAUCAGAAAGCCACGGCUAACUACGUG